GGGUUAGGGUUAGGAAAAUGUGAAGAUUUUCCCAAAAUCUGAAGAUUUUCCUAAGUGCGGACCCAAUUUUUCACCUUCCAGAAUUGUGUUAGGAGCACGUUUCAGGCCACGGGGAGUCCAUAGAACCUGAUUCUGGGUGAAGUUUUCGGGGGUUGGAGCUUUGCGGCAGGAUGAUAUAGGGAUAUGUGCCACUUUUGACAUGCCGGUUCAUUGCCUUUCCCAUCGAUGAACCGGGCUGAGAUUUGGUCUACCCCCCCAUUUUCGGGUAUGCUGAAUCUAGAAAUAGUAAUGAACCAGCGAUCGGACAUUCCUAUCAAAAGUUAUGGCGAAGUGAAAAUUUCCCAUUGAAAAUGAAUGGGAGCGGAAAAUGGCCAAAGUCAGUGUUUGCAAGUGUUGUACUUGUCUGGAAGUGUUGAAAAUGCAUUGUGAGCACGUUUCAGGCUAUUUCCUGUCAUUUGAGGG
Non-coding RNA from Xyrichtys novacula (pearly razorfish), 462 nucleotides. The record is from the annotation of a GenBank genome assembly. NCBI's taxonomy places the organism in Eukaryota, Metazoa, Chordata, Actinopteri, Labriformes, Labridae.